GAAUAUUGGACAAUGGGCGAAAGCCUGAUCCAGCCAUGCCGCGUGUGUGAAGAAGGCCUUUUGGUUGUAAAGCACUUUAAUCGAGGAGGAGGCUACUUAGAUUAAUACUCUAGGAUAGUGGACGUUGCUAGCUGACUAAGCACCGGCGAACUAUGUCCCAGCAGCCGCGGUAAUACAGAGGGUGCGAGCGUUAAUCGGAUUUACUGGUCGUAAAGCGUGCGUAGGCGGCUUCUUAAGUCGGAUGUGAAAUCCCUGAGCUUAACUUAGGAAUUGCAUUCGAUACUGGGAAGCUAGAGUAUGGGAGAGGAUGGUAGAAUUCCAGGUGUAGCAGUGAAAUGCGUAGAGAUCUGGAGGAAUACCGAUGGCGAAGGCAGCCAUCUGGCCUAAUACUGACGCUGAGGUACGAAAGCAUGGGGAGCAAAC
Molecule: ribosomal RNA, 423 nt
Filed under: uncultured bacterium
Lineage: Bacteria
Description: partial 16S ribosomal RNA
Rfam family: Bacterial small subunit ribosomal RNA
Source: RNAcentral